Molecule: transfer RNA, 74 nt
Filed under: Cricetulus griseus (Chinese hamster)
Lineage: Eukaryota; Metazoa; Chordata; Mammalia; Rodentia; Cricetidae
Description: tRNA-Val (TAC) (tRNA-Val-TAC-4-1)
Rfam family: tRNA
About the family: Transfer RNA (tRNA) molecules are approximately 80 nucleotides in length. Their secondary structure includes four short double-helical elements and three loops (D, anti-codon, and T loops). Further hydrogen bonds mediate the characteristic L-shaped molecular structure. tRNAs have two regions of fundamental functional importance: the anti-codon, which is responsible for specific mRNA codon recognition, and the 3' end, to which the tRNAs corresponding amino acid is attached (by aminoacyl-tRNA synthetases). tRNAs cope with the degeneracy of the genetic code in two manners: having more than one tRNA (with a specific anti-codon) for a particular amino acid; and 'wobble' base-pairing, i.e. permitting non-standard base-pairing at the 3rd anti-codon position.
Source: RNAcentral
GGAUUCCAUAGUGUAGUGGUUAUCACGUCUGCUUUACAUGCAGAAGGUCCUGUGUUCAAGCUCCAGUGGAACCA